UACGUAGGGGGCAAGCGUUGUCCGGAUUUAUUGGGCGUAAAGAGCGUGUAGGCGGUUUGGUAGGUCCGUUGUGAAAACUCGAGGCUCAACCUCGAGACGUCGGCGGAAACCAUCUGGCUAGAGUCCGGAAGAGGAGAGUGGAAUUCCUGGUGUAGCGGUGAAAUGCGCAGAUAUCAGGAGGAACACCUAUAGCGAAGGCAGCUCGCUGGGACGUGACUGACGCUGAGACGCGAAAGCGUGGGGAGCAAACAGG
This 253-nucleotide ribosomal RNA is filed under the name uncultured bacterium. RNAcentral's name for it is "partial 16S ribosomal RNA". It matches the Rfam family "Bacterial small subunit ribosomal RNA", at positions 524 to 776 of the family's 1533-position model. The record is from RNAcentral.